RNAcentral lists this ribosomal RNA (330 nucleotides) under Chilocorus renipustulatus (kidney-spot ladybird beetle). RNAcentral describes it as "partial 12S ribosomal RNA". Lineage: Eukaryota; Metazoa; Arthropoda; Insecta; Coleoptera; Coccinellidae. The record is from RNAcentral.
UUAGAUACCCUAUUAUAAAAAUGUAAUUUAAAAAAUUAAAUGAUUAUAAGUUAUUUUCUUUAAAGUUAAAUAAUUUGGCGGUAUUUUAGACUUUUCAGAGGAACCUGUUCUAUAAUUGAUAGUCCACGAUUAAAUAUACUUUAAUUAGAAAUUUUUAUAUCGUUGUUAUUAAAUAUUUUAAAAGAAUUAAUAUUUAAGAUUUUAAAUUAAAGAAAAUUUCAGAUCAAGGUAAAGUUUAUAUUAAAGAAGAAAUGGGUUACAUUAAAUUUAUUUUUGGUUAAGUUUUUGUAAAAAAAUUUAUAAAUUGGAUUUGAAAGUAAUUUUAUUUAU